UACGUAGGGCGCAAGCGUUGUCCGGAAUCACUGGGCGUAAAGGGCGCGUAGGCGGCCCUCUUAGUCGCGUGUGAAAGCCCCGGGCUCAACCUGGGAACGGCGCGCGAAACGGGAGGGCUGGAGUUCGGGAGAGGAGAGUGGAAUUCCCAGUGUAGAGGUGAAAUUCGUAGAUAUUGGGAAGAACACCGGUGGCGAAGGCGGCUCUCUGGACCGAGACUGACGCUGAGGCGCGAAAGCGUGGGGAGCAAACAGG
Molecule: ribosomal RNA, 253 nt
Filed under: uncultured bacterium
Lineage: Bacteria
Description: partial 16S ribosomal RNA
Rfam family: Bacterial small subunit ribosomal RNA
Source: RNAcentral